GGAAGUGACGUUAUCGAGAGAGACCGCCUCAGUCUCAGCGGGUUCCGCCCACUUUCUCCGCGACUUUAGGUAUCUGGAGUUACGGGGAAGCUCCGGAAAGAGCAGGAAAAUCUCUGAACCCAAAUAAUCCCCAAGAAAUCAAAUCAAAUCAAAGAAAUACCCUAGUUAUAUUGUUGCCAAAACUCUUUAGAAGUUUAGGAGGAUCCGAGUUCAAAUUCUUCUACUUAUACACCGGCUUCUCAAGCUAGGGUCCUUGGCAAACUAUCAAGCAGGAGCAUUGAGAGAACAAUCUGAAAUCCUACUAAUGUGUAAGGAGUUGAAAAAUAAAAUGGAAUGGAUAAAGCAGAAUGAGGAGAAGUUGAUCAUUGGUGGAGCAGGUUUGGGUCAAUAAGACAGAACUGCAAGAAGGCUUCCCUUUCAGGAGCUUAUACAAUACCUGCUUUGUGGGUAAACAAAGAACUGACCUUUAUAUCAGUGUCAGCCUUUCAACUUUAAGGAACAUAUGUAUUUUCCAGGUAAUUACAAUUAAAAUUACAGAAAGGGAUUUUUAAUAGCUUUGUUAUCAAGAAAUAAAUUAAGGUUUUCCUUGAAAUCCUAGUUAACUACAUGAGAAAAGAAUCUGAACUACUGUUUUCACUCUAAGAGAAACAAAGAAACCUUUAUAUCCCUGGAGCACCAAUAUUUUCCUUAGAACCUUUCUACCUACUCGUUUCAAAACAAAGCAAAAUAAAAUAGCCUUAAAUGAAGCCAGACAAAAAAUGACUGUCAUCACAAGUUCAAUCAUCUGUCCUAGCUAGUGAGUGGUGAGUUUGCUGGUUUUCUGAAAACAUUAAAAAGAUAUGAUUGGCAUA
Long non-coding RNA from Monodelphis domestica (gray short-tailed opossum), 851 nucleotides. RefSeq lists it as uncharacterized. NCBI's taxonomy places the organism in Eukaryota, Metazoa, Chordata, Mammalia, Didelphimorphia, Didelphidae. The record is from RefSeq and is a predicted model, not a curated record.